AAUGAACGCUGGCGGCGUGCUUAACACAUGCAAGUCGAACGAUGAAGCCCAGCUUGCUGGGUGGAUUAGUGGCGAACGGGUGAGUAGCACGUGAGUAACCUGCCCUUAACUCUGGGAUAAGCCUGGGAAACUGGGUCUAAUACCGGAUAGGAGCGUCCACCGCAUGGUGGGUGUUGGAAAGAUUUAUCGGUUUUGGAUGGACUCGCGGCCUAUCAGCUUGUUGGUGAGGUAAUGGCUCACCAAGGCGACGACGGGUAGCCGGCCUGAGAGGGUGACCGGCCACACUGGGACUGAGACACGGCCCAGACUCCUACGGGAGGCAGCAGUGGGGAAUAUUGCACAAUGGGCGCAAGCCUGAUGCAGCGACGCCGCGUGAGGGAUGACGGCCUUCGGGUUGUAAACCUCUUUCAGUAGGGAAGAAGCGAAAGUGACGGUACCUGCAGAAGAAGCACCGGCUAACUACGUG
RNAcentral lists this ribosomal RNA (466 nucleotides) under uncultured bacterium. Its description in RNAcentral is "partial 16S ribosomal RNA". It matches the Rfam family "Bacterial small subunit ribosomal RNA", at positions 29 to 507 of the family's 1533-position model. The record is from RNAcentral.